RNAcentral lists this ribosomal RNA (379 nucleotides) under uncultured eukaryote. RNAcentral describes it as "partial 18S ribosomal RNA". It matches the Rfam family "Eukaryotic small subunit ribosomal RNA", at positions 592 to 975 of the family's 1831-position model. The record is from RNAcentral.
CAAUAGCGUAUAUUAAAGUUGUUGCGGUUAAAAAGCUCGUAGUUGGAUUUCUGCUGAGAACGACCGGUCCGCCCUUUGGGUGUGUAUCUGGCUCUUUCUUGGCAUCUUCUUGGUGAACGUUGCUGCACUUGACUGUGUGGAGCGCUACCCAGGACUUUUACUUUGAGGAAAUUAGAGUGUUUCAAGCAGGCAUACGCCUUGAAUACAUUAGCAUGGAAUAAUAAGAUAGGACCUCGGUUCUAUUUUGUUGGUUUCUAGAGCUGAGGUAAUGAUUAAUAGGGAUAGUUGGGGGCAUUCGUAUUUAACUGUCAGAGGUGAAAUUCUUGUAUUUGUUAAAGACGGACUACUGCGAAAGCAUUUGCCAAGGAUGUUUUCAUUG